AAUUGAUAUAGACCCAAGUCAUUUAGUGAGAUGAGGAAGACGCCGCGUUUGAAAUGGUC
This 59-nucleotide transfer RNA is filed under the name Casearia mariquitensis. Lineage: Eukaryota; Viridiplantae; Streptophyta; Magnoliopsida; Malpighiales; Salicaceae. The record is from RNAcentral.